Molecule: long non-coding RNA, 549 nt
Organism: Alosa sapidissima (American shad)
Lineage: Eukaryota; Metazoa; Chordata; Actinopteri; Clupeiformes; Clupeidae
Exons: 3
Source: RefSeq, a predicted model, not a curated record
UGUUGACAUGCUUUUUGUUGAUUUAUUCUUCAAGUUCAUGGCACCACCUGGCUGGACAGAUGGGAUGGAUCUAGAGACUGCCAAACAGAUCGUCACCCCAUUCCUCCUACUGAUCCUCUGAAUCAGGCAACAACAGUGUUUGAAGACUGAAACUGAAAUAAUUCAAAUGUGUCUUUGUAGUCAGGAGCCAGCGAGAUUGACUUCAUUUUGGAAGAGUAUCUGGGGAAUGGAGAGGACAUGUUGAAAAACAGGGAUGCAUUUACAGAAGUCUUUGCGGAUGUAGUCUUCAAUAUACCUGCCAUCAAGCUAUCAAAAGCUCACAGAGAUUCUGGUGCACCUACAGUAUAUACAUGUAUGAGUUCCAGCAUCCUCCAAGAUUCCUUUCGUACAAGCGCCCAAGCUUUGUCAAAGUAGACCACGGAGAUGAACUUGCCUUUGUCUUUGGAGGCUGCUUCACAAAAGGCCAUGUCAAGAUAAAAUGGUUCGUUCACUGAAGAGGAAGACGAGCUUUGUACGACAGUCGUCAUACCGGGGCAACUUCGCUCGCAC